Molecule: ribosomal RNA, 1305 nt
Filed under: Triticum aestivum (bread wheat)
Lineage: Eukaryota; Viridiplantae; Streptophyta; Magnoliopsida; Poales; Poaceae
Description: partial small subunit ribosomal RNA
Source: RNAcentral
AUGACUGAUGAAGAAGAGUUGUUGUUUUUGAGGAGCAAGGAGUUUGGAGUACUCUGCGCACCUACCUGUAGCGUGCCAUCACAACCACUUGCACAACAAGAGGUUUGCGCGCCACAUGUAAACUUCCUCUCCUUCCUCCCAGUCUCUAGCCACCCAUUGAGGGCUGGCACAUCAUGCCAAGGAAGCUGCAAAUCCUUUUUGACUUCUGUGAUGUGGUUACCACUACAACACACAAGUAUUAUAAAACCUGUCCCCAAGUUUGUGGGAUAUGCUGCUAGGGGGCUUGGAGUGCUGCUGGUCCAGAGUGCCAAAGAAGCUCUGGAAGUUCAAAAUCCAAACCCAAUGGCAAUAGUAACAGUGGCUAUUGGGAAACUUCACACAGUUUGGGUCCAAUUUGGGAAGGUUCCUGAGUGUUUCAGGCAUUUGUUUGGGAUGUGUGAGGUGGCUGCAACUCUUGGGCCAGUGCUAGAGAUUGAUAUGAAUACAAUUACUAAGGAGAAGAUCAGAGCUAAGGUGGGGAUCAAGGACUAUGAGAUAAUACCACCAUACGCUGAGAUUACUGACAAAGAGCUGAUGAUCUACAGGGUUAUACCAGAAUUAGAGAGUGUGGUGGAAAUGGGAUGGUAUGGAGAGCACAAAAGACAGGUGAUUGAGGGAACAGAUGCAGACACUAGUGAAGGAGCUAUGAGGAAGAGACACAAAGGAUAUAAUGAUGAUGUUAUAGGAACUAAAGAGAUGAUUUCACUUGGAAGCUUAGGAUUGGCCCAGUUUGAGGAGCUAAAGAAGAAGAAUGAGGAGAUUAUAAUGAGACAAAAAGAACAAAUCCUGGAGAUGGAGGCUAGGAAAAAAGUGGAAUCUAAUUUGGAUAUGAUCAUGAAAAAACAAGGGGUGAUUGAUAGAUGUGUUGAGAAAAUUGAGAUGUGGGAAAACAGAGAGAAAGAAUUGGAAGAUAUGGCUAAGGAUGACCUGAAGAAUCUGGAUACUGACAGAAAGGAUGAUGAACACAACAACUACAAUGAGGCAGUGGAUUACAAUGCUAGUCAGGAGUCAGUGUCCUUUGGAACGAAGGUGGGAGUAAAAACAGAGAAUAAUGACACAGAAAACAGUGACAUUAUGCUGGAAGAGCAACUAAGAAGAUGUGGGAGAUUGAUAGACAAGCAAGAUGCUAACAUUGAGGAACUGGCUAAAGAAAGAGUUGAUACCAAGGAUAAUUAUGAUACAAUUGGAAUUGAUCUAGGAUGUUCAAUCAAUAUGGUUGAGUCCAACCUAGAUAUUAUUGCUAAGAUCAUUCUGAUGCUGAGCUAG